UAGAGUUUGAUCCUGGCUCAGGAUGAACGCUAGCUACAGGCUUAACACAUGCAAGUCGAGGGGAAACGGCAUUGAGUGCUUGCACUCUUUGGACGUCGACCGGCGCACGGGUGAGUAACGCGUAUCCAACCUUCCCAUUACUGUGGGAUAACCUGCCGAAAGGCCGACUAAUACCGCAUAGUCUUCGAUGACGGCAUCAGAUUUGAAGUAAAGAUUUAUCGGUAAUGGAUGGGGAUGCGUCUGAUUAGCUUGUUGGCGGGGUAACGGCCCACCAAGGCGACGAUCAGUAGGGGUUCUGAGAGGAAGGUCCCCCACAUUGGAACUGAGACACGGUCCAAACUCCUACGGGAGGCAGCAGUGAGGAAUAUUGGUCAAUGGACGGAAGUCUGAACCAGCCAAGUAGCGUGCAGGAUGACGGCCCUAUGGGUUGUAAACUGCUUUUGUAUGGGGAUAAAGUCAAUCACGUGUGAUUGUUUGCAGGUACCAUACGAAUAAGGACCGGCUAAUUCCGUGCCAGCAGCCGCGGUAAUACGGAAGGUCCAGGCGUUAUCCGGAUUUAUUGGGUUUAAAGGGAGCGUAGGCUGGAUAUUAAGUGUGUUGUGAAAUGUAGACGCUCAACGUCUGACUUGCAGCGCAUACUGGUUUCCUUGAGUACGCACAACGUUGGCGGAAUUCGUCGUGUAGCGGUGAAAUGCUUAGAUAUGACGAAGAACUCCGAUUGCGAAGGCAGCUGACGGGAGCGCAACUGACGCUUAAGCUCGAAGGUGCGGGUAUCAAACAGGAUUAGAUACCCUGGUAGUCCGCACAG
This 808-nucleotide ribosomal RNA is filed under the name uncultured bacterium. RNAcentral's name for it is "bacterial SSU rRNA". It matches the Rfam family "Bacterial small subunit ribosomal RNA", at positions 1 to 802 of the family's 1533-position model. The record is from RNAcentral.